Molecule: long non-coding RNA, 699 nt
Filed under: Salmo salar (Atlantic salmon)
Lineage: Eukaryota; Metazoa; Chordata; Actinopteri; Salmoniformes; Salmonidae
Description: lncRNA (ENSSSAG00000118844.1)
Source: RNAcentral
CAACGAAACAUCCAUUCUAUGACGACAUUAAUGAAUGUCGCUUUGAAAUAUCCAUUCUAACCGAGAGAGAGAGAGAGAGAGAGAGAGAGAGAACUCUCCAACAGAACGACGCUCCAACAAGGAUCCCGACGACACACUGAGCUUGAUGGAGAAGUUGGGACCAUUGUUCUCGGGAGUCACACAAUUCGUAGAGAAUAACAUCAGGAUCUGCUUAUCAUCCAACGACUGUUUUGUCAAGAUGCACCUUGUUCCCCGAGAAGGUGUCAGUUAUCCCAUCUACUCGACAGGGGGAGCCACAGUCCAUAUGGACUCAUUGGUGAUGAUGGUGGAAGACCCAUCAAGAUGAUGCGCAUGUGUGCUCAGCCCUCCUACCUGAUCUACUCCAGACCCAGCAUCGCUCCUCGUUUUGCCGACCCUCCACGUAUCUGUUAUGUGAAGUACCCUGUGCCUACCUACAUAUGCUUAUGAUGAUUUUAAAGAUUGUAAACCCUUUUUCACUUCAUAUUAUGCACUUUAAACCUGUUUUCUCAAUGUUUACUUUGAAAAUAUAAGGUUCUGCUAUAGCUGUGUUUUGAUUGGUUAAUACAAUUUUGUCCAACACCAAAAAACUACUGUAUUUUCCUAGGUUAAAGUUGGACUCCUCCCUGUGUAUGAAUUAGUUGGUUGGUCAUCAUCAGUUUUUCAAUACAUUUAAUCCGU